RNAcentral lists this ribosomal RNA (590 nucleotides) under uncultured bacterium. Its description in RNAcentral is "bacterial SSU rRNA". It matches the Rfam family "Bacterial small subunit ribosomal RNA", at positions 893 to 1494 of the family's 1533-position model. The record is from RNAcentral.
UUUGAAACUCAAAGGAAUUGACGGGGGCCCGCGCAAGCGGUGGAUUAUGUGGUUUAAUUCGAUGAUACGCGAGGAACCUUACCAAGGCUUAAAUGAGAAUUGAUCGGUUUAGAAAUAGACCUUCCUUCGGGCUAUUUUCAAGGUGCUGCAUGGUUGUCGUCAGCUCGUGCCGUGAGGUGUUAGGUUAAGUCCUGCAACGAGCGCAACCCCUGUCACUAGUUGCCAUCAUUCAGUUGGGGACUCUAGUGAGACUGCCUACGCAAGUAGAGAGGAAGGUGGGGAUGACGUCAAAUCAUCACGGCCCUUACGCCUUGGGCCACACACGUAAUACGAUGGCCGGUACAGAGGGCAGCUACACAGCGAUGUGAUGCAAAUCUCGAAAGCCGGUCUCAGUUCGGAUUGGAGUCUGCAACUCGACUCUAUGAAGCUGGAAUCGCUAGUAAUCGCGCAUCAGCCAUGGCGCGGUGAAUACGUUUCCGGGCCUUGUACACACCGCCCGUCAAGCCAUGGAAGUCUGGGGUACCUGAAGUCGGUGACCGUAAAAGGAGCUGCCUAGGGUAAAACAGGUAACUAGGGCUAAGUCGUAACAA